GUCUAUGGCCACACCACGCUGAAUGCACCGGAUCUUGUCUGAUCUCGGAAGCUAAGCAGGGCCGGGCCUGGUUAGUACUUGGAUGGGAGAACACCUGGGAUACCGGGUGCUGUAGGCU
Aotus nancymaae (Ma's night monkey) is the source of this 118-nucleotide ribosomal RNA. The record is from Ensembl. Lineage: Eukaryota; Metazoa; Chordata; Mammalia; Primates; Aotidae.